UUGGAUACCAACAAGAGAAUAACUUUAAUACCUUCUCUACUGGCAGGCUCCACCAGUUGGAUGAUGAUGCUUCUCUCUCCCACAUCUGUCAAGCCCUCCUAAUUACUUCUGCAGGUGGCCACGAUGGAAGGGCCUCUUUCCAUCACAGGUGCCAUUAUGAGCCUUAUGCCCAGGACAGAAAUGUGACCUCAGUGACUUCUGCCUUUCCUUUCUCCUGAUACCUUACCUGCCUUCCUUCUGCUCCCCAGCUGCUGUGCCUCGUUCUUCCUCACCUUCCUUCUAUGC
Molecule: long non-coding RNA, 285 nt
Filed under: Homo sapiens (human)
Lineage: Eukaryota; Metazoa; Chordata; Mammalia; Primates; Hominidae
Description: HSALNT0222358
Source: RNAcentral